This is a long non-coding RNA of Haemorhous mexicanus (house finch), 1236 nucleotides long. RefSeq lists it as uncharacterized. The record is from RefSeq and is a predicted model, not a curated record. The transcript is spliced from 2 exons. NCBI's taxonomy places the organism in Eukaryota, Metazoa, Chordata, Aves, Passeriformes, Fringillidae.
AGUCAGCGGGAUAUGUUGGGAAGCUCCGAAUUGGAUUAUGCCCGUGGCUUCAGGCAGAAAGUUCGGUGCCCUGAUGAAGUCUGUGAGAAGCCAUAUGUUCCAAUGGUGAUGCCAAUGCCCGGGCUUGGCUUGUGCUUAGGUCGUGUCUGUUUGCCCACGUUACCGGCAAGGAUGAGAACACACAGUCCUUCCUUCUGUAAGCUGCCUUCACAGCUUUAGGAGGACAUGUGUCUGUAGUUAGGAGCUCGGUGUUCAUUCAUCGUGUGACCGUGACUGAGGUGAUGGCUGGUGUCAAGUAGGAGAGGCUUCAGCUGGGCCAAAGAUGUUGGAGAGAGUUUUUUGAGGAACACACCGUCCACGUGGAGCAAAGCUUGUCCUCUGGAUUAUUAUUUCUCCUAUAUUUUCUAAAUUUCCAUGUUGCAUAAUAUGCUGUACUAUUUUAUAAGGAGAAGUUGAUGCAGGUUGGACAUUGACCUUUUCUUCUGAAAGGUUGAUUAAUCUUGGAGAAGAUAAGUUAAAAGUUUCACUUCUCCAGUAUAGCUCUGAUACCUGUUCAAGAACUAAACUAGGUUUGACAACACCUGAAAGUACUUUGAUAAGCAUAUUGGAAAGGUAGAAAAAAUAGCAGCUACACCAUGUCAGAUGACUUCUUGAACACAGAUGAUAGUAGACUAAUACUUUUAGAGUUUAUUUAGAGCUCAAAGUAAUUAACAGGUGAAAAGAAGCCAUGAUGCUUGUCCAUUGUAAUAAAAGUGUGAUAACUUACAGUAUAGUUUGACUUUAUAUUUGUAGACUUAACUAGUGUAGUUCAAUUAAAAAAGGCAAAGUACCGAUUGUGUGAAUAACAAAGUAGGUCUUGCAAUACAUAGUUUUAACUGUGUAGUACACUGCUCUUAUUUUGAUGUCUCCAAUUUAAUUGGAAGAUCCAGAUGCUGAGAAAAAUGAAACUAUUUUCUGCAUGUUUUUGGAGUGUUGCACUGUGAAUGAGAGCUGCACUUAGACUAAUUAAAAAAACCUCUGACUAGGGUACUUGAAGCCAGUGUUGCUUUUGCAUCACUGUGCUGUGAACUGACUCCACUGCUGUGCAGUAUUAGUGUUUCAUGCAUGCUGUUAAAGUAUUAUAAUUUGUGGUUUGGUACAGAUACAGCUUAGUUUAAUUUUAGAGCAUGCUUUCCAAGGAAACAUUGAUUUGCUAUUUUAUGUAUACAGGGAGCUAACUGUUCCAGUUCUGAAAAA